RNAcentral lists this ribosomal RNA (335 nucleotides) under uncultured Ruminococcus sp. RNAcentral describes it as "bacterial SSU rRNA". It matches the Rfam family "Bacterial small subunit ribosomal RNA", at positions 1 to 339 of the family's 1533-position model. Lineage: Bacteria; Bacillati; Bacillota; Clostridia; Eubacteriales; Oscillospiraceae. The record is from RNAcentral.
AGUAGUUUGAUCAUGGCUCAGGACGAACGCUGGCGGCACGCUUAACACAUGCAAGUCGAACGAAGCGGAGGGAGCUUGCUCCCGAAGCUUAGUGGCGGACGGGUGAGUAACACGUGAGCAACCUGCCUUCAGGUGUGGAAUAAUGGCUGGAAACGACCACUAAUACCGCAUAACAUACAUUUGCCGCAUGACAGAUGUAUCAAAGAUUUAUCGCCUGAAGAUGGGCUCGCGUCCGAUUAGCCAGUUGGUGAGGUAACGGCUCACCAAAGCGACGAUCGGUAGCCGUACUGAGAGGUAGAACGGCCACAUUGGGACUGAGACACGGCCCAGACUCC